GCAUAAAGAACUUAUACAAAAAAUCCCAAAGUCAUUGCAUGCAUUUCUGAUUUGAUAUGAAUUUUCUAAAUUAGAAGUUCAUUUUGUGCAUAUUUUUGGUCAUUCCAUUACAUAGACCAGUUGAUAUACUUGAUCAUUGAUUUGAUGCUGGUUCUUUUGAGGACAUUGGAGGUAGUUUUUGAAGGUGUGAUAUGCAAAAGGUUGGGUCCUGGAUUGGUCAU
RNAcentral lists this long non-coding RNA (221 nucleotides) under Lathyrus oleraceus (garden pea). Its description in RNAcentral is "Pisum sativum (pea) long non-coding RNA (PSAT_LNC005685)". The record is from RNAcentral. Lineage: Eukaryota; Viridiplantae; Streptophyta; Magnoliopsida; Fabales; Fabaceae.